ACUCCUGCGGGAGGCAGCAGUGGGGAAUUUUGGACAAUGGGCGAAAGCCUGAUCCAGCAAUGCCGCGUGUGUGAAGAAGGCCUUCGGGUUGUAAAGCACUUUUGUCCGGAAAGAAAUCCUUGGCUCUAAUACAGUCGGGGGAUGACGGUACCGGAAGAAUAAGCACCGGCUAACUACGUGCCAGCAGCCGCGGUAAUACGUAGGGUGCGAGCGUUAAUCGGAAUUACUGGGCGUAAAGCGUGCGCAGGCGGUUUGCUAAGACCGAUGUGAAAUCCCCGGGCUCAACCUGGGAACUGCAUUGGUGACUGGCAGGCUAGAGUAUGGCAGAGGGGGGUAGAAUUCCACGUGUAGCAGUGAAAUGCGUAGAGAUGUGGAGGAAUACCGAUGGCGAAGGCAGCCCCCUGGGCCAAUACUGACGCUCAUGCACGAAAGCGUGGGGAGCAAACAGGAUUAGAUACCCUAGUAGUCCC
This 470-nucleotide ribosomal RNA is filed under the name uncultured organism. RNAcentral describes it as "partial 16S ribosomal RNA". It matches the Rfam family "Bacterial small subunit ribosomal RNA", at positions 335 to 797 of the family's 1533-position model. The record is from RNAcentral.